UGGAACGUAGCAUAAUGGUAAUGCACCGCUUUUUGGUAGCGUAGAGUAUAGGUUCGAGUCCUAUCGUUCCAGCCA
RNAcentral lists this transfer RNA (75 nucleotides) under bacterium. RNAcentral describes it as "tRNA-Gln". It matches the Rfam family "tRNA". From Rfam's summary of the family: Transfer RNA (tRNA) molecules are approximately 80 nucleotides in length. Their secondary structure includes four short double-helical elements and three loops (D, anti-codon, and T loops). The record is from RNAcentral.